AUGUUUAGUUUUAAGAUCAAAACAGUUUGGGAGAAGCCAUUUGAACAACUAUAAUGAUAAAACAGCAGUUAAACUGCAAGUCCACAUCAUCAGAAUCAUCAACAAUGGAAUGGUCUAAGUGACUCUGCAAUAAGGCAAUGACCCAGAAGAAGAAAAAAUUUAGUUAGUUUCUGGUCCAGUCGAAAGUCCUGAUGAAACAUGCUGAAACAUUGGUUGGAGGACUAAAGGGACAGACAGCAUCAGCUUUGUCUGUUGUGCUGAAAACCAUUCUAGACACAUGACUUUUUGCAAGUUUUCACUCUUUUUCCCUUGUAGAACACUAAUAACAAACAAGCUAACAAUAAAUAUAAACUUCACAAGGGUUGUUUUGGUAGAUAUAGGUGAGAUCACUUAAAAUUCAUAUUUAUAAUAAAUAUUUUCCAUCUCUACUGUUAGAAUGGAAAUACCUGUUCCUGCUGCAAGCUAUUAUCGUUGUGUUUUUAUUUUGUUUUAUGUACUGAUUGCUGCCAUUGUUUUGUACAUAAUUGUAGUUUUACUCUGGACUUGACUGUAUCAUAUUAUUUAUACUUAUUUAUAAAAAUACAGUUCAGAAUUCCUUUUUAAUCAACUGUAACUCUUGUUGGAAAU
Molecule: long non-coding RNA, 627 nt
Organism: Mauremys reevesii (Reeves's turtle)
Lineage: Eukaryota; Metazoa; Chordata; Testudines; Geoemydidae
Exons: 3
Source: RefSeq, a predicted model, not a curated record